UACGGGGGGGGCAAGCGUUGUUCGGAAUUACUGGGCGUAAAGGGCUCGUAGGCGGCCAACUAAGUCGGACGUGAAAUCCCCAGGCUCAACCUGGGAACUGCGUCCGAUACUGGAUGGCUUGAAUUCGGGAGAGGGAUGCAGAAUUCCAGGUGUAGCGGUGAAAUGCGUAGAUAUCGGCAGGAACACCCAGGGGGAAACCAGCUGCCUGGGCAAGCGCUGACGCUGAGGUGCGAGAGCGUGGGGAGCGAACCGG
This 253-nucleotide ribosomal RNA is filed under the name uncultured bacterium. Its description in RNAcentral is "partial 16S ribosomal RNA". It matches the Rfam family "Bacterial small subunit ribosomal RNA", at positions 524 to 776 of the family's 1533-position model. The record is from RNAcentral.